AACCGUUAAGUGGUGGUUGGUAGGCGUGAAACUAACAUGGUGCUUGAAAGCGCGUGUUAACUGUACGUUUGUUAUAGCUUAAUUAUUAGUAAGAAAGUGUGUUUUUAUUUGUUUGAAAUGAAAGAGGUGAAUUAAUAUAAAGAUCAAAUUAUAGACAACGUAUAAGUUCUCUUUAACGUAUAUUGCGAAAAUAUGGCAGAAUCGGUAGGACCAAUACUUCAUGUAAUUGUUGUCGGAUUUCAUCACAAAAAAGGGUGUCAAGUAGAAUAUUCAUUUCCUCCUUUGGUGCCCGGAGCUCCAAACGAAUGUCCAUUGGGGUGGAAAUAUUUACCGACUUUAGCUUUACCAGAUGGAUCUCAUAAUUAUGACGAAGAUACAGUUUUUUUUCAUUUACCUAGUUUAAAUGAUCCAAAAUGCACAAUAUAUGGAAUUUCAUGUUUUAGACAAAUUCCUGUUGAGAAAUUAAAGAAUCGUACAUCUGAUAUAACAAGAGGAACUGUUCAGAAAUCUGUUUGUGUAUUAAGUACCUUACCAUUAUAUGGUCAUAUUCAAGUAAAAAUGGCUUUGAUAACACAUGCAUACUUUGACGAAGGUGACUUUAGUAAAGUAUCAUUAUUAGAAGAUACUUAUCAUCAUCUUAAUUCUUGUAUGAGCAGUGAAAGUCAAAUACCGCCCCAAGUUUUUGUUGGAUUAUCUGCGAGAGACUUUAUAUUGCAAUUUCGUCACAAAGUUCUUUUAUUAUUUAAACUACUUCUGUUGGAGAAAAAGAUAGUUUUUUAUCAGUCACCAGUACAACCAUUAUGUGCUACUAUAUUAACAUUACUCUCAUUAUAUCCUGGUAUGAUCGAACAUGGUUUACAACAAGCUGCAUGUGUUAGACCCUCAAGGCCUAUGUCACCCAUUCCUACAUUUGAUGAAGAAGAAAUAUCAACAAAGAAUAUUGAUAAUAACGUAUCUUCUACGAAUUCUGUUAAAAACAACAUAUCAGAUACAAUAAAAGAACACAUUAAUGGAAAUUCGAACAGAAACUCCUUAUGUAUAAACGAUAAUAAAGCUAUUGAAACUAUGGAAAGCAAAUGUUUAGACGAAUUUAAAAACAUAACACUACAAAAGAAUAAUAAUGAAAAUGAGAAUUUGAGCAUGAAAGUGAUCGAAGUUGAAUCUGCACAGGAAUGUACUGAAUCUUAUGUGGAAGAAAAUAAUUCUGUGUAUUCAUCAAAAUCAAAUGACAAUGUACACAGGGUACAGAGUAUAAAUACAAUUACAUUAGGCACAGCAGAUACUGACAAUCCGUUACCACGCGAUACAAGUAACGAUGCACUCUCUGAUGCACGUUUGACAAAUAAUAUUACUCAGAUCGCUCAUAUAAAUCCAGAACUUUGUGGUUUACCAUUAAGUAUAUUUACAAAGGGCUAUCUGUGUUUACCAUAUCUAUCUUUACCAUAUUUGGAUCUUUUGGCAGAUAUUAAUGUUAGAGGAUAUAUAGUGGGAGCAACAAAUGUUUUAUUUAAGCAGAAAAAACAACUUAUCGAUGUGCUAGUAGAGGUCGAAAAUACACGAAUAGAAACAAGUGAUCCAGAAUUAAGAAGACAACUGCAUCUUACGACCGAAGAUCUGAGAUUUGCGGAUUAUAUAGUUAGACAUGUCUCAGAGCCACGUAAAGAUAUUUUUUUAGAUGGUGUAGGCUGGGAAGGUGGAGAUGAAUGGAUUAGAACUCAAUUUCGAGUUUAUUUAUUAAGUAUGUUACGAACAUCGCUACAACAAGAUACUCGACAGUCGGACCAUUAUAAUUCUGCAUUUAUGGCUGCUUGGCGUACAACGAACAACUACAAGAUCUGGAGUAGUACUAAUAAACCAGAAAUUAAUAGCAUAGAUCCUGGACAUCCAUUUGCAGGACAAUUAUCUGUACAAGAUAUGAAAUUACGGUUAUCACACACAAUGCAAAAUACGGAAAGUGGCAGAAAAUUAAAUCAAGCGAUGGCAUCAACCGGAAGAGCAGUUGCAACAACAGGAAAAGCUGUAGGUGGUGCACUUUCACAAGCUAAAGGAGCAUUUUCUAAUUGGUGGAGUACAUUAACAACAGUUCAACCUGUUGAAGAAGGAAAGGCUGACAAUCAAACUACAAUUAUACAUCAAACACUUUCAAACAUAACUAACAAAACUGCUAUCGAAGACGAAGAAAUGGACGUAUCUACCAAUAAUACGAAUCUAGGAGUGGCUGUAGAUUAAUAUAAGGAGUUAUGAAAGUUCUAAUUGUUUGAUACCAUAAUUGUAAAAGAUGUUUCUAAAACCAAAUGUAACAGGUGAUAUUGUUUCUUACUAUACACAGUAAACGAGAUAUAGUAGAACAAGAAUAAGUAUUCGUACAAUGCAAACUGUUGGUGUGUAUAACAGGAAAUUUAAUUAUAUCUGAGAAAAGUUCAGUUGCUGAUAUUUUCAGAUAAAUUGAAACAGCUCAAAAAAUGAUAAAGUUUUUAUUUAAAUACGAGUGCCAAAUAAACUGGCAUAGGACUGGUGAUUUAUGAGUACUAUAAAUAAAUUUAUGUGCAGUUAAUAACUACAAGAAGUUCUUUUGAUAGAUUGUUAGAUUCUUAUGUUAUGAAAUUGUGCUAUACUAGUCAAUUCACAUUGUAUCUUUUAGUCAUAACAACCUUGUUAUUCUUACGAAUUAUAUAUAUAUAAUAUAUAUGAAAAACUUUUAUACGAAUAACACUAUUUAAUUUGUAUUAUCCGCAAUGAACAUAACACGAAAUUUUGUUAAUUUUUAUUAAAUAUUAUUUAAAUGUAAACAGGGUUUUAUAAAUGUGAUAAUAUGCGUUUUAUGUUUGAAGUAAUGUUUAUUUAUAUUUAACUUUGGUUUACCAUACAUGCAAUUCGGUUAUUUUUUUUUUUUUCAAAUUGAUCUGAAAAAAUCUAUGUACUCUUUAUAGUUAUAGAUCAUUUCACAGCAUAUGUAUAUAUAAAUGCAGAGUGUAUGUAUGCAAAUAUUUCUUAUGUUAAUUAGAAUAUGAAAGUACAUGAUGUAUAUUGUGAUUAAUUAUUUAUUGUAGUAUCUGUUAUUAUGUAUUACAUACAUUUUUAUCAAGAAA
This is an RNA transcript of Megachile rotundata (alfalfa leafcutting bee), 3089 nucleotides long. It is a transcript of the gene named late secretory pathway protein AVL9 homolog, with no coding region annotated. NCBI's taxonomy places the organism in Eukaryota, Metazoa, Arthropoda, Insecta, Hymenoptera, Megachilidae. The record is from RefSeq and is a predicted model, not a curated record.